GCGCCAAUAGCUCAGUUGGAUAGAGCGUUCGCCUCCUAAGCGAAAGGUCGGGGGUUCGAAUCCCUUUUGGCGCGCCA
Molecule: transfer RNA, 77 nt
Filed under: Ruminococcus difficilis
Lineage: Bacteria; Bacillati; Bacillota; Clostridia; Eubacteriales; Oscillospiraceae
Also listed under: 1 other name
Description: tRNA-Arg
Rfam family: tRNA
About the family: Transfer RNA (tRNA) molecules are approximately 80 nucleotides in length. Their secondary structure includes four short double-helical elements and three loops (D, anti-codon, and T loops).
Source: RNAcentral